UCAAAAGAUAGCACUUGUUUCUGUCGAGAAAACUUUGAAGGAACAACAUGCAAUACAUGUUCAGAUGGACGAUACGGUGAAUAUUGUGAUCAAGUAUGUAGUGUCGGUUGUGGUAAAACAAUGGCUUGUGAAAGAAACAACGGCUCCUGUAAAUGUCUUCCUAAUUUUACUGGGGAUAAAUGUGAACAAUGCAUAGGCAGCCUUUACGGACAAUCAUGAGACUUACAUUAUCCGGAUACUUGCAAAGGGGGUACAUGCUCACGAAAUGAUGGGACAUGCACACAUGGUUGUGUUGAUGGAUAUUCGGGUGACAAUUGCACAAACCCGUGUGACAAUAUAUGCGCAACAUGUCUACAAUAUAGCACAUCAUACUGCGUUUCGUGCUUAAAUGGUUACACUGGAACAACAUGCCGAUGUCCUCCUAACUGCAUUUGUGCGGUUGGACUUGAUAUUUGUAUUUCAUGUACAAAUGGUUAUGAAAGUCCUGAACAACAAUGCACGUGUCAAUCGAAAUAUUGUCUCGAGAAUGAAUGUGAUCAAUGUAUUAACCAGACGUUUUACGUUGAUAACAAUGCGUGCUGUUCAUGUCCUGAUCAUUGCAAAGAUGGUGUCUGCAGGAAUGGACCUGAAUGUAUUUCUGGUUGCAUGGACGGCUUUUACGGUUUGAAUUGUUCUCAAAGUUGCUUGUCCCUGAGUGCGGACUGUCUACGAUGUACUCAGACGUAUGGAAAGUGUUUGGAAUGUAAAGACGGUUUUUAUCCAAACGAUUAUGGAAGCUGCAUAAAUUGCAGUAUUAGCUGUAUGGGUGGGCUUUGCAAUUCUGCGAAAGUAAAUGGCUGCAUCAAUGGUCUUGAAGACAAAGAUUGCUCAAACGACGAAUUUACAUUGGUUCUUCAACAAUAAGUGCCCUCUCAGCUUUAUCGGUAGUUUUGGGCAUUUCGCUUAUUUGCACAGCUGCUGGUUGCUAUCUGUGUAACAGACGAAUGUCUAAACCAACAGAACCGGAAGAUCAGCUUGAAACUGAGAUGACCUAUGAACAGCUACAAAGACAGGCAAACGAACCAACAUACACGAAUGCUGACGAAAAUUAUUCCGUGCUUUCAACGUAGAAGUUAAAAACAGUUUUUGCAUGAGAGAAUGAGUAUAACGAGAUUUUGCAUUUUUAUUCUGAACUUUAAGAAACAUUCAGGUUUGGUUUUACACCUGUUGCCAGUAGAUAUAAAUUUGCAGUCGUAGUAUUAAUAUGUAUCGAGAAUUGAUUAUAUUUAAUUUCAGAACAAUAUAUCCAGUGUGUACAUCAUUUAACGUUAUGUAUGUAUAUAUUUUCGUCAUACAUGUAACACUACAUGUUUAGGACGUCCUGUUUUGUGCCCGAAUGCUCUAAACACUCUGUAAAUGUGGUUACCCUUACACUAUAACAUGGUCAUUGAUACGUAUUAGGCUGCUGGGCUUAUCCAGUAAAGUAAAACAUAGUUACCUUUCUGACAAUAUGAAUCUUAUAUUGUAGACCUCCAUCCAAAUACACACUACGACAUAAUCAAUAAACUGGUGACUCUGUCGAUCGUGCAUCCAACAUACGACCACUGUGCUAUGUUUUAGAACUGUCUAACAACAGUGAACUUCUCGGUCUACCGUUCUAUAACCGACCAUAUUUAUGUUAAUAUGGAGUUGCAACUGUUUUGCAAGAUGAUGUAAGUGUAACAGCGUAUAUAUAUGUUUAAUACUUAGAAGGACUUUUGAAACUUGGCGUGUGUCUGGAGUUUCCAUAGUAUUAUUACAACUGUACGUUAUUAAAAAUAUUUAACAAAACAAAAAAACAACAACAACAAAAUACAACUGUAUUGAACAGUUCUGAACUGAAACAAAAUAAGUACAAAAUGUUAGUACUUUCCCCAAUUAUAGUAAUAAUUUCGUUUAAUUUGAACGGAUAUUUUAAAUAUGGUUCAUUUUUAUAUGUUAGAAUAUUACCUGUCAUAUUAUACUACAUUAUACUAUCCCACCAUGGUUUUUAUAAUUGAUUUGUUUCGUAUCAUAUACUAGAUGGUUUAUAAAGUGACAUACUCUUAUGUACCGCUAUAAUGGACAACAUUUGAAGUGUGUUUAUAUAUAAGUUAAAUAAUUAUAACCCUUACCUGGAAAGAUAUUACUAUGCAGUAUAUUUUGGUUGUUGUUUAUUCAUAGUGUAUCAAGUUGUUACAUAUGAGUGUUGAGCCGUUGAUAUACAAUGAUUCUCUGCAGGUUAUUUUACCAGAACAGUUUUCCUAAUCUAAUUUGAUUCAUAUAAGAAUAUUACAAGAAUAUAUAUAAAUAUUUGGUUAUUUCUAAGGCUCCCUAUAGUUGCAUAUUGUAUAGGCUGUCCGAUGUAAAGAUUUACAUAUAUUUGUUAAUAUAAAUAUCAUUAAAUUGUUUUAGCUAUCGUAAAACUAUAUAUCCACAAAAUGAAUUAAGCUAAAACGCACGUUACAAUUAACAUUAUACACUAACAUUGUCAAUUAUUAAAUAAUAAAAAUUUAGAAUUCGAUUGAUAGAUCAAAUUAUAUAAUAUCUUCAUUGACCUAAACUAUGUUGUUGCUGUAUAUGCUUAUUCGAUAUUUACUCAUAUGUGAUAGUGAAUUGUUUAAUUUUGAAAUAUAAAUCUAUAUGCACUGAAUCACACCAAACACUGUAUUAUAAUAUAUGUAUUAGUCCACAUGGGCCUGGGCGUGCUAGAAUAUUUUGUAAAUACACAUAUGUAUCACUUCAGUACUGAUAAUAGUAUUAGCUUUUUGUUUGUUAUAAUUUCAAAUGACGUCUGCAACAUUUUGAACAAAUUCAUCUCACAAAUGUAUGUUAACAUGAUGUGUACUAACUAUAUUCAUGUAUUGACUUCAGUGGAUUGGUAUAAGCAACAAUUAUUAAGAUGUACACAAACGGUUAAAUGUGUAUCAAUUGUUUGACUUUAUAAAGAAUAAUGCAAAGUUCAAAUUUUGUAGUGUAGAUUUUUCUAAAAGUAGUGUAUGUGUUUGAUCAACUGAUGCAAUAUGAAGGAA
Molecule: long non-coding RNA, 3029 nt
Organism: Mya arenaria
Lineage: Eukaryota; Metazoa; Mollusca; Bivalvia; Myida; Myidae
Exons: 3
Source: RefSeq, a predicted model, not a curated record